AAACAAUGAUCAUUUCACAAAACAUUUAGCAACACAUGUCACAUUUUGCAUCAUGUCCAAUCACUCAAGCACAUUUGAAAAUCCAGCAAUGCAAAAAUUAUGAAAUAAAUGUCACAAAAUAAAAGACAUCAAUAUGAACAUGUGAGAAAAAAUUGCAUUCAAUUUGGAUUAAUAUUCCAUUUGUUAUGAAUUUUAGAAAUUACAUGAACAAAAUGAAAUAAUGUGACAAGAAUAAAUGGAAAAUAAAAAUGUGAAAAGAAA
RNAcentral lists this long non-coding RNA (261 nucleotides) under Lathyrus oleraceus (garden pea). RNAcentral's name for it is "Pisum sativum (pea) long non-coding RNA (PSAT_LNC038123)". The record is from RNAcentral. Lineage: Eukaryota; Viridiplantae; Streptophyta; Magnoliopsida; Fabales; Fabaceae.